UAAAAAGAAAAAAAAAAAAGUGAUGAAUAAUACAAAAGUCCCGUUCGAUCAAUCCUCAUUAUUUAAUAUACAUGUAACAUUCACUACCGCGUUCUCGCUAAUUCCACGAAUAAAUUUCGUAUAUCUAAAUACGGCCGCACGAAUGUGUUCGUCACGAAUUUCGAUGAUUUCAUUUAAAGUAAACGUGCUCGGCGAGCAGAUGAUCCACAGUGACUCGUGAUAUCACUGCACAUAGCGGAGCCGCAUGACGUUCGGACACAGGAAUCAAGGACCUCAGUCAACAAGGGCAGAGGAGCACGCACGUGGGCGAGCAUGGCGUCGAUUACGGUCACGCCAGUUUUCGUUUCCGCAGCGAGAUUCCCCCCGUAGUCCACGAGCAUCCGGACACAUUCCUGAUGAUCUUGUAAAACGAAUCCUGUUGCGAUCAGUCGUUGCCGAUUAAUUGGAACAAUUAAUUAUACCUCGUCCCGGAUGUUUACGCAGACAGGAUCCACUGCCUCGAGGAGAACUUGUAAGGUCUCCAGGUGACCCUCACCGGCGGCAAUGUGUAGUGCAGUGCUUCCUGUACCGAUGCACUGAAAAAGAGGCCAUGCACCAGCUUCCAGUAGCCUCUUUAUAGCUGUUUUACUGCCUAGCAUAGAUGCAUGUAUCCGGAUGGACGACAUUGACGGAAGCAUUGGCCGAUGCUAAAAUUUCUACCACCUCAUCAAACUUCAUCAUCUCCUCUUUGUUACUGCAAUCAAGAUUGGCCCCCGCCAGAAGAAGCGGCGUCACACCCUGUUCAUCCUGCGCAUCGACCAUCGCUCCUGCAUUAACCAACAUUCUUACGAUUUCCGGCUCAUUAGCUCGCACAGCCUGAUGUAAAGGCGUUCUGCCCCAGCAUUCAGUUACACCCACGUUUCGGCCAAUCGGACAGUCUGGUUCCAUGGUCAUGUUUGUAGCGUAAGGCAUAUCCUUCGGCCAGGAAUUGAUGCCGACUUUACUGUUGACAUUGGCGCCAUGCUCGAGGAGCCACUUGACUAUCUCGACGUUGCUGUGGUGAAUCGCGUAAUACAACGCGGUUCUACCGAGUUUGUCAGAAAUAUUGAUGUCCGCACCUUUCUCGUAGAGGAGUUCCAGCAAAUUUAACCGACCUCGCCAACUGGCCAGUUGAACGGCAGUUACCCGAAGCGCACCGGCUGCUUCCAAAAA
Molecule: long non-coding RNA, 1191 nt
Organism: Cephus cinctus (wheat stem sawfly)
Lineage: Eukaryota; Metazoa; Arthropoda; Insecta; Hymenoptera; Cephidae
Exons: 5
Source: RefSeq, a predicted model, not a curated record